CGACAGCUGCAGGAUUCGAACCUGCGCGGGCAAAGCCCAAAAGAUUUCUAAUCUUNCUCCUUAACCACNCGG
Molecule: transfer RNA, 72 nt
Filed under: Millerozyma farinosa
Lineage: Eukaryota; Fungi; Ascomycota; Pichiomycetes; Serinales; Debaryomycetaceae
Description: partial transfer RNA
Source: RNAcentral